CAAAAACAUCGCCUCCUGCAAAAAUCAAUGUAUAAGAGGUCCUGCCUGCCCAGUGACUAUUAGUUAAACGGCCGCGGUAUUUUGACCGUGCUAAGGUAGCGCAAUCACUUGUCUUUUAAAUGAAGACCUGUAUGAAUGGUGGAACGAGGGCUUAACUGUCUCCCUUCUCCAGUCAAUGAAAUUGAUCUGCCCGUGCAGAAGCGGGCAUAUACAUACAAGACGAGAAGACCCUUUGGAGCUUAAGACAAAAGGCCAAUCUUCGGUUGGGGCGACCACGGGGGAAAAUAAAGCCCCCAUGUGGAAUGUAAAACUAAGAGAGACAUCUCUAAGCCACAGAAUAUCUGACCCCGAUCAACGAACCAAGUUACCCUAGGGAUAACAGCGCAAUCCCCUCCAAGAGUUCAUAUCGACGAGAGGGUUUACGACCUCGAUGUUGGAUCAGGACAUCCUAAUGGUGCAGCCGCUAUUAAGGGUUCGUUUGUUCAACGAUUAAAGUCCUACGUGAUCUGA
RNAcentral lists this ribosomal RNA (510 nucleotides) under Prochilodus lineatus (curimbata). RNAcentral describes it as "partial 16S ribosomal RNA". It matches the Rfam family "Bacterial large subunit ribosomal RNA", at positions 1808 to 2608 of the family's 2925-position model. The record is from RNAcentral. Lineage: Eukaryota; Metazoa; Chordata; Actinopteri; Characiformes; Prochilodontidae.